RNAcentral lists this ribosomal RNA (398 nucleotides) under uncultured bacterium. RNAcentral's name for it is "bacterial SSU rRNA". It matches the Rfam family "Bacterial small subunit ribosomal RNA", at positions 361 to 776 of the family's 1533-position model. The record is from RNAcentral.
AUAUUGGACAAUGGGCGCAAGCCUGAUCCAGCCAUGCCGCGUGAGUGAUGAAGGCCCUAGGGUUGUAAAGCUCUUUCACCGGUGAAGAUAAUGACGGUAACCGGAGAAGAAGCCCCGGCUAACUUCGUGCCAGCAGCCGCGGUAAUACGAAGGGGGCUAGCGUUGUUCGGAAUUACUGGGCGUAAAGCGCACGUAGGCGGAUUGUUAAGUGAGGGGUGAAAUCCCAGGGCUCAACCCUGGAACUGCCUCUCAUACUGGCAAUCUCGAGUUCGAGAGAGGUGAGUGGAAUUGCGAGUGUAGAGGUGAAAUUCGUAGAUAUUCGCAGGAACACCAGUGGCGAAGGCGGCUCACUGGCUCGAUACUGACGCUGAGGUGCGAAAGCGUGGGGAGCAAACAGG